CAGCAGCCGCGGUAAUACGUAGGUGGCAAGCGUUGUCCGGAAUUAUUGGGCGUAAAGGGCUCGCAGGCGGUUUCUUAAGUCUGAUGUGAAAGCCCCCGGCUCAACCGGGGAGGGUCAUUGGAGACUGGGAAACUUGAGUGCAGAAGAGGAGAGUGGAAUUCCACGUAUAGCGGUGAAAUGCGUAGAGAUGUGGAGGGACACCAGUGGCGAAGGCGACUCUCUGGUCUGUAACUGACGCUGAGGAGCGAAAGCGUGGGGAGCGAACAGGAUUAGAUACCCGCGUAGUCCCUGUCUCUUAUAC
RNAcentral lists this ribosomal RNA (301 nucleotides) under uncultured bacterium. RNAcentral's name for it is "partial 16S ribosomal RNA". It matches the Rfam family "Bacterial small subunit ribosomal RNA", at positions 509 to 807 of the family's 1533-position model. The record is from RNAcentral.